RNAcentral lists this ribosomal RNA (1374 nucleotides) under Alcaligenes faecalis. RNAcentral describes it as "partial 16S ribosomal RNA". It matches the Rfam family "Bacterial small subunit ribosomal RNA", at positions 23 to 1365 of the family's 1533-position model. Lineage: Bacteria; Pseudomonadati; Pseudomonadota; Betaproteobacteria; Burkholderiales; Alcaligenaceae. The record is from RNAcentral.
UAAAGGCGGCAUGCUACCAGGCAGUUCGUACCAGCGAGUCAGACGUCGAGAGCUUGCUCUCUUGGCGGCGAGUGGCGGACGGGUGAGUAAUAUAUCGGAACGUGCCCAGUAGCGGGGGAUAACUACUCGAAAGAGUGGCUAAUACCGCAUACGCCCUACGGGGGAAAGGGGGGGAUCGCAAGACCUCUCACUAUUGGAGCGGCCGAUAUCGGAUUAGCUAGUUGGUGGGGUAAAGGCUCACCAAGGCAACGAUCCGUAGCUGGUUUGAGAGGACGACCAGCCACACUGGGACUGAGACACGGCCCAGACUCCUACGGGAGGCAGCAGUGGGGAAUUUUGGACAAUGGGGGAAACCCUGAUCCAGCCAUCCCGCGUGUAUGAUGAAGGCCUUCGGGUUGUAAAGUACUUUUGGCAGAGAAGAAAAGGUACCUCCUAAUACGAGGUACUGCUGACGGUAUCUGCAGAAUAAGCACCGGCUAACUACGUGCCAGCAGCCGCGGUAAUACGUAGGGUGCAAGCGUUAAUCGGAAUUACUGGGCGUAAAGCGUGUGUAGGCGGUUCGGAAAGAAAGAUGUGAAAUCCCAGGGCUCAACCUUGGAACUGCAUUUUUAACUGCCGAGCUAGAGUAUGUCAGAGGGGGGUAGAAUUCCACGUGUAGCAGUGAAAUGCGUAGAUAUGUGGAGGAAUACCGAUGGCGAAGGCAGCCCCCUGGGAUAAUACUGACGCUCAGACACGAAAGCGUGGGGAGCAAACAGGAUUAGAUACCCUGGUAGUCCACGCCCUAAACGAUGUCAACUAGCUGUUGGGGCCGUUAGGCCUUAGUAGCGCAGCUAACGCGUGAAGUUGACCGCCUGGGGGAGUACGGUCGCAAGAUUAAAACUCAAAGGAAUUGACGGGGACCCGCACAAGCGGUGGAUGAAUGUGGAUUAAUUCGAUGCAACGCGAAAAACCUUACCUACCCUUGACAUGUCUGGAAAGCCGAAGAGAUUUGGCCGUGCUCGCAAGAGAACCGGAACACAGGUGCUUGCAUGGCUGUCGUCAGCUCGUGUCCUGAAAAUGUUGGGGUUAAGUCCCGCAACGAGCGCAACCCUUGGUCAUUAGUUGCUACGCAAGAGCACUCUAAUGAAAACUGCCGGUGACAAACCGGAGAAAAAAGGGGGGGGAAUAACCUCCAAGUCCUCCUGGGCCCCUUUUGGGGUGGGGGCUUUCCCACGUCAUAACAAAGGGUGCGGGGAAAAAAGGGUCCCCCACCCCCCCCAGGGGGGAGCCAAUUUUCAAAAACCCCAUCUUAUUUCCCGGAUCCCAAUUUGCCAAUCUCCCCGCGCUGGAAAUCGGGAAUCGUCUUUUAUUCCGGGAUCCAAAAUUUUCCCGGGA